AUUUUCAUGUGGUAGACCGAGACUGCCUGCGAAGCAGAAGGUUCCGGGUUCAAUUCCCGGUGGGGUUA
Non-coding RNA from Phthorimaea operculella (potato tuberworm), 68 nucleotides. NCBI's taxonomy places the organism in Eukaryota, Metazoa, Arthropoda, Insecta, Lepidoptera, Gelechiidae. The record is from the annotation of a GenBank genome assembly.